This 205-nucleotide ribosomal RNA is filed under the name uncultured bacterium. RNAcentral's name for it is "partial 16S ribosomal RNA". It matches the Rfam family "Bacterial small subunit ribosomal RNA", at positions 328 to 545 of the family's 1533-position model. The record is from RNAcentral.
ACGCUCGACACCUACGGGAGGUAGCAGUGGGGAAUAUUGCACAAUGGGGGAAACCCUGAUGCAGCGACGCCGCGUGAGCGAAGAAGUAUUUCGGUAUGUAAAGCUCUAUCAGCAGGGAAGAAACUGACGGUACCUGACUAAGAAGCACCGGCUAAAUACGUGCCAGCACGCCGGACGGUAAUCUGAGGCGGGCGUGGACGAAGGC